AUCCCAGUUCUUCACAUCACGGAUUCUUUGCUUGGGGUAGCAGUCGAACUCGUGCCCAAUUACCAGAAAUCCAAACUCUGCAGUUCCAACAUACAAUUAAAAGCAAUAUAUUAUAAUGGUUACUGGUUAAGAUAAACUGAAAGAAAGUAGCACAAAGGCCAAACCUUUAACAGGGUCAAUUUGUGAAAGGUCAAUAUUAUCCCAAU
RNAcentral lists this long non-coding RNA (206 nucleotides) under Manihot esculenta (cassava). RNAcentral's name for it is "long non-coding RNA (MESC_LNC004927)". The record is from RNAcentral. Lineage: Eukaryota; Viridiplantae; Streptophyta; Magnoliopsida; Malpighiales; Euphorbiaceae.